This 114-nucleotide ribosomal RNA is filed under the name Staphylococcus aureus. Lineage: Bacteria; Bacillati; Bacillota; Bacilli; Caryophanales; Staphylococcaceae. The record is from RNAcentral.
UGGUGACUAUAGCAAGGAGGUCACACCUGUUCCCAUGCCGAACACAGAAGUUAAGCUCCUUAGCGUCGAUGGUAGUCGAACUUACGUUCCGCUAGAGUAGAAUGUUGCCAGGCA